This 468-nucleotide ribosomal RNA is filed under the name uncultured bacterium. RNAcentral describes it as "partial 16S ribosomal RNA". It matches the Rfam family "Bacterial small subunit ribosomal RNA", at positions 28 to 507 of the family's 1533-position model. The record is from RNAcentral.
GACGAACGCUGGCGGCGUGCUUAACACAUGCAAGUCGAACGGAAAGGCCCUGCUUUUGUGGGGUGCUCGAGUGGCGAACGGGUGAGUAACACGUGAGUAACCUGCCCUUGACUUUGGGAUAACUUCAGGAAACUGGGGCUAAUACCGGAUAGGAGCUCCUGCUGCAUGGUGGGGGUUGGAAAGUUUCGGCGGUUGGGGAUGGACUCGCGGCUUAUCAGCUUGUUGGUGGGGUAGUGGCUUACCAAGGCUUUGACGGGUAGCCGGCCUGAGAGGGUGACCGGCCACCAUGGGACUGAGAUACGGCCCAGACUGCUACGGGAGGCAGCAGUGGGGAAUAUUGCACAAUGGGCGGAAGCCUGAUGCAGCAACGCCGCGUGCGGGAAGACCGCCUUCGGGUUGUAAACCGCUUUCGCCUGUGACGAAGCGUGAGUGACGGUAAUGGGUAAAGAAGCACCGGCUAACUACGUG